Long non-coding RNA from Hemibagrus wyckioides, 119 nucleotides. RefSeq lists it as uncharacterized. Lineage: Eukaryota; Metazoa; Chordata; Actinopteri; Siluriformes; Bagridae. The record is from RefSeq and is a predicted model, not a curated record. The transcript is spliced from 2 exons.
GUGGAUAGAUAUGCCUUUUUGAUAACUUUAUUUGAGUUUAAGGUGGAUGGGCUACAGCGGCUACUUUAAGGUGGAUGGGCUACAGCGGCUACUUUAAGGUGGAUGGGCUACAGCGGCUA